RNAcentral lists this ribosomal RNA (160 nucleotides) under uncultured bacterium. Its description in RNAcentral is "partial 16S rRNA". It matches the Rfam family "Bacterial small subunit ribosomal RNA", at positions 353 to 509 of the family's 1533-position model. The record is from RNAcentral.
AGUGAGGAAUAUUGGUCAAUGGGCGCGAGCCUGAACCAGCCAAGUCGCGUGAGGGAAGACGGCCCUACGGGUUGUAAACCUCUUUUGCCGGGGAGCAAUGUCCGCCACGCGUGGCGGGGCUGAGAGUACCCGGCGAAUAAGCAUCGGCUAACUCCGUGCC